Molecule: ribosomal RNA, 253 nt
Filed under: uncultured bacterium
Lineage: Bacteria
Description: partial 16S ribosomal RNA
Rfam family: Bacterial small subunit ribosomal RNA
Source: RNAcentral
AACGUAGGACGCAAGCGUUAUCCGGAGUUACUGGGCGUAAAGCGCGGGCAGGCGGUUCUGCCAGUCUGAUGUGAAAUCUCCCCGCUCAACGGGGAGCAGCCAUUGGAAACUACAGAACUGGAGUCUGACAGAGGUAGGCGGAAUUCCGGGUGGAGUGGUGAGAUGCGUAGAGAUCCGGAGGAACACCAGAGGCGAAGGCGGCCUACUGGGUCAGUACUGACGCUGAGCCGCGAAAGCCAGGGGAGCGAACGGG